AGAGUUUGAUCCUGGCUCAGGACGAACGCUGGCGGCGUGCUUAACACAUGCAAGUCGAGCGGAAAGGGCCCUUCGGGGUACUCGAGCGGCGAACGGGUGAGUAACACGUGAGCAACCUGCCCUUAGCUCUGGGAUAGCUCCGGGAAACCGGAAUUAAUACCGGAUAUGACCAUGGCCGACAUCGGUUGUGGUGGAAAGAUUUAUCGGCUGGGGAUGGGCUCGCGGCCUAUCAGCUUGUUGGUGGGGUAAUGGCCUACCAAGGCGACGACGGGUAGCCGGCCUGAGAGGGCGACCGGCCACACUGGGACUGAGACACGGCCCAGACUCCUACGGGAGGCAGCAGUGGGGAAUAUUGCGCAAUGGGCGGAAGCCUGACGCAGCGACGCCGCGUGGGGGAUGAAGGCCUUCGGGUUGUAAACCCCUUUCGGCAGGGACGAAGCGGAAGUGACGGUACCUGCAGAAGAAGCACCGGCUAACUACGUGCCAGCAGCCGCGGUAACACGUAGGGUGCAAGCGUUGUCCGGAAUCAUUGGGCGUAAAGAGCUCGUAGGCGGUCUGUCACGUCUGCUGUGAAAACUCGGGGCUUAACCCCGAGCUUGCAGUGGAUACGGGCAGACUAGAGGUAGGUAGGGGAGAAUGGAAUUCCCGGUGUAGCGGUGAAAUGCGCAGAUAUCGGGAGGAACACCGGUGGCGAAGGCGGUUCUCUGGGCCUUACCUGACGCUGAGGAGCGAAAGCGUGGGGAGCGAACAGGAUUAGAUACCCCCGUAGUCC
Molecule: ribosomal RNA, 772 nt
Filed under: uncultured bacterium
Lineage: Bacteria
Description: bacterial SSU rRNA
Rfam family: Bacterial small subunit ribosomal RNA
Source: RNAcentral